GGUGAUCCAAAAGAUUGACAGUAUUUUGUCAGAGUCUACUGCUGCAUCCCUUCUCUUCUUCUCCAUAAUAGCAGCAGCAACCAUGGAAAAAGUGGCAAAAAAGAGCCCAGCUCCUAUCCUUUGUAAAGGGGUUAUUCCUGAUUCAUGACCAGUGAAUUUCCUUGCGAAUGGGACAAAAAAGGUGUCAUAUAGAGGGACUACAACUAUAAGGAUAAUGUAAGGGAUGGAUUGAAGUGAAGCUGGAGGGAUCUUGAAGGAUUCUGUAAGAUGGGUGUCCAUGGAACUCCCUUGCUGAACUGAAAAUGUUUGGAGCUGUGCUAAAAUAGUGUUGAAAACUAUAGUGCAAGCAAAAAUUGGAAUCACUGAUAUUAGUAUCUUCACUUGCUCCACUUGAGUUACAGUGCAUAAUCUCCAUGGAC
RNAcentral lists this unclassified non-coding RNA (419 nucleotides) under Hevea brasiliensis (rubber tree). The record is from RNAcentral. Lineage: Eukaryota; Viridiplantae; Streptophyta; Magnoliopsida; Malpighiales; Euphorbiaceae.